CUAUAUUGUGCAGUCUGUGGAGAUGGUGGGGAGAUGUGUGUUUGUGACAAUACAGAGUGUACGAGAGUAUACUGUAAUAUAUGUAUUAUAAUACAUACAGAUGAAGACACUUUAAAAAAGAUAGAGAAUACAAGCCACUGGAAGUGUUUCCUGUGUGAAGAGUAUAGCCCAGUGUCACAUGGGGAUCUGGAAGCACAUGAAGAUUGGUCACUUGAGCUUGUCAAGUUUCAUCAGGCUUUGAAUGUAUCAAUG
Long non-coding RNA from Ruditapes philippinarum (Manila clam), 252 nucleotides. RefSeq lists it as uncharacterized. The transcript has 3 exons. The record is from RefSeq and is a predicted model, not a curated record. NCBI's taxonomy places the organism in Eukaryota, Metazoa, Mollusca, Bivalvia, Venerida, Veneridae.